This is a long non-coding RNA of Alosa sapidissima (American shad), 111 nucleotides long. RefSeq lists it as uncharacterized. The transcript is spliced from 4 exons. Lineage: Eukaryota; Metazoa; Chordata; Actinopteri; Clupeiformes; Clupeidae. The record is from RefSeq and is a predicted model, not a curated record.
AUUGCCAAUUUUCAAUUCUAAAACAACCCAGCCCAUGCCUGAAUUCAGGCACAGUGCCUGAACACUUUGAGCCCUGAUUUAUACACUGGUUGGAGUGUAAGUACAUCCACU